RNAcentral lists this ribosomal RNA (253 nucleotides) under uncultured prokaryote. RNAcentral's name for it is "partial 16S ribosomal RNA". It matches the Rfam family "Bacterial small subunit ribosomal RNA", at positions 525 to 777 of the family's 1533-position model. The record is from RNAcentral.
ACGAAGGUGGCAAGCGUUGUUCGGAUUUACUGGGCGUACAGGGAGCGUAGGCGGUUGGAUAAGCCCUCCGUGAAAUCUCCAGGCUUAACCUGGAAAGUGCAGAGGGGACUGUUCAGCUAGGGGAUGGGAGAGGAGCGCGGAAUUCCCGGUGUAGCGGUGAAAUGCGUAGAGAUCGGGAGGAAGGCCGGUGGCGAAGGCGGCUACCUGGACAAUUGCUGACGCUCAGGCACGAAAGCGGGGGGAGCAAAAGGGA